CUGCCAGACUGAACGUGAAAAGUCACAUGAAAUCUGUUUUUUACAAAUCCUUUCCAAGCCUCAUUUGUAGGUAGUUUGAAAUGUGACUUAAAUCACA
This is a long non-coding RNA of Thalassophryne amazonica, 97 nucleotides long. RefSeq lists it as uncharacterized. The transcript has 3 exons. NCBI's taxonomy places the organism in Eukaryota, Metazoa, Chordata, Actinopteri, Batrachoidiformes, Batrachoididae. The record is from RefSeq and is a predicted model, not a curated record.